AGAGGAGGAGAAUCCGGCGAAUCCGGGAGAGGUUAUUUGUCGUAUAAGAAAAUCGUGGAAAAAAAUGUGAUUCUCUGCUUGACAAACCGCUCAUUAUUGAGUCGCUCGCCGAGUGUCAUUGCUGGACCAGAUGCGUGACGUGAUUUGUUGAGUAUUAAAGCGACACGAUGCCUGGGAAGAUAAAGGUGAAGAUACUGGCAGGUCGUAAUCUGCCAGUAAUGGAUCGUUCUGGCGACACGACGGAUGCUUAUGUGGAAUUGAAAUUCGGCAACAUAACUUACAAGACAGAUGUGUGCCGAAAGUCUCUGAAUCCACAAUGGAACUCGGAAUGGUAUAGAUUUGAAGUUGACGAUGCUGAACUACAAGAUGAGCCACUGCAAAUCAGAUUGAUGGAUCAUGACACAUAUUCUGCUAAUGAUGCGAUAGGCAAAGUUUAUAUAAAUCUUAAUCCAUUGUUGCUGCCUGGUAUACUGCCUCCAGUAAAGAACAUUUGGACUCUGGAGGCAACUAUGAACACCAGUGCUGGAUCUCAAGGAUCAGUUAUGACUGGCUGGAUACCUGUAUAUGACACAAUGCACGGCAUACGUGGCGAAGUAAAUAUUAUCAUAAAGGUGGAACUAUUUUCUGAUUUUAAUAAGUUUAGGCAAUCAUCCUGCGGAGUACAAUUCUUUUAUUCACCUAAUAUACCAUAUGGAUAUCAUGCACAAAUGAUACAUGGAUUUGUUGAAGAACUUGUAGUUAGUGAUGACCCAGAAUAUAAAUGGAUCGAUAAAAUAAGAACACCCAGAGCAUCGAACGAGGCACGACAGACUCUGUUUUUUAAACUAAGUGGAGAAGUCCAAAGGAAAAUUGGAUUAAAAGCAUUGGAUCUUGGUGGAAAUGCUGUAAUUGGGUACUUGCAAAACUUUGAUCUAGAAGGCGAAUCCGGCAUUGUUGCCAGAGGUAUAGGCACAGCGGUAACGCUAGUAAAACUGCAUGACGUUUUCGGUUUUCCUUGCGACAGCAUCAAUAUCGAAGAGAUCGCAUUCGCGCUUUCCUCACGCACAAUAGUGCGAACGGAACGUUACGCCGACGACAGCGCGCCGUUCCCUAUCUCUACUCCCGCUGGCGUUCCCGCUUCUUAUCCUAUUAGCAAAAACAGGAAUCUUUACGCGAGAUCCUUGUCGUCUUUAACGCGCCUGGAAUGCGCAAAGGUGCCCGUGACUCCUGGACAUGUCAGAGCGCGAAGGAAACGUGCCAAGCGCAUUCCGUUUCUACGAUCCAAUACAUCGAGUAUGUUGAAUCUAAGAGUGACCGCUUCCAGCAGCUCGGACGUCACUCCGUCGUCGGAAAUUGAUCGGAGUUUAAUCGACGAAACGGUGAAAUCUAUACGUACCAUAGUAAUGCCAGAGGAGACAAGGAAGAAAUCGUCGAGAGAUCACCUCUCCAAGCAGAUCAAGCAUCUACGUAGUAAAUUUGACUCGGUCGGCGAGGAGAGUCAUUUCACCACGGAAUCUGACCGCGAUUCCGACAUUAUGAAUCCUCAGGAGAGAAACCUGAAGGAAACCAAGACCACCGGUAGGAUAAUGGCCGCGUUACUUAUCGAAUCUAUACAGAACAUGUCUCUUGAGAAUAUCGAAAAUAUUGAUCCCGCUUUGAUUCUUCCCAGCGAUAAACAGUCUAACGAAGAGAUAAAGGAAGAAACAGUGCUGUGCUGUACAGAGAAUCCUGAAAAUAAGAAUAGCAAGGUCCAAGUAGGUGAAGAGCAGCAGCAAGACGUCGCUUCCUCGAUUGACGAGACGGAGAUGUCUUCCUUCGAUGACGAAAAUUUGACGGGCGAUGAAUCAUCGGGGGACACUGCCAGUUAUAACAUCUUGGACGACUCGAGAUACUCGAUCGAUAGAGACUCCAACAAAACGGAGGACUCGGCGAGUCUCCAGGAGAGAAUUCCCAUUACGCACUCCAGUGCGGAGAGCUGCACGGAGUCUACACUGCAGAUAGAAUCGGACGUAGCGUCGAAUCGUUCGCCAUCAAUCCCGAAUUUAAUAGAUAUGGAAGACACCAUACUACAGAACGAUAGGAUUCCCAUAAUCACUGUGGACAUUCACGAGAGCACAGAUUCGGACACGUCCGGAUUGUCGAACGAUGAAAGUCAGCCGGAUAUCUCGGAUUCGUAUAACUUCGAGGAGACUAAUAUUUCCGCUGUGGAAUUAACUCAUUUGUCCGACAAAGGAAACAUCAGCGAUGUAAGACCAGCAUCUGACACUUCUGGAAACGAGUGUCAGGUGCUUGGUUUGAGGAUAGAGGAAAGUGAGCGGUGCAGCAGUGCCACCUUUACAUCCGAUGGUUCGUCGGUUCCCGAAGCACCUGAUAUUCGUCUGGAUAAACCCGAACAAGAUCUACAUCCGAGCCACGAUCAAUCUAUUCAUCAACAAAAUGAGAAAUCAACGGGACUCGAAUCUUCAUUCAUCGCUGAAGGAUCGAAAGAUCGCGUGAACGCAGGCAAAAAGGGGAAUGAUUCGGUGACGAAACGGGCAUUGAUCGAAGAAGCCCGUGCGAUUAUGAUGGUCGAGAGACGAAAAUGUAUACGCGAUUUGAUCAAACUAAUCGACACGAAGAUGAUGGUAUCCGCACGGCCGACGCGUCGUAGCAAAAAAACCGUGUCGCUGAGGAGCAAGAAGAAGAAGAAGAUCGAGAGAACGGGAUCUCACAAGGAAGCGAAAAAGUCGGGGAAUCCGCUUGACCGAUUUCCUUCUCGUAGCGCGUCCACGAGGAAACGUGCGUCGCGUAAACGUCGCAAGAAGAGCGAUCACCUUCGCGUUCCUCGCGUCCGCUCGAUUCCCGAGUAUCUAUCCUCGGCGCAGCGCCCGAUUAUUCACGCCACCUCCCGUUCCUGCGACUCUUCUCCCAUCAGUUUAACCGAUCGCGUAUCCCCAGCUCCCGCGUUCCAUCGUCCGCUCGAUGGUUCGCCCGGGACCUCGGGAAAACCGCCGAGGAGCAACCCCGGCAACAAAUCCGACAUCGUAACCGCGAUAUCUAUCAGUAGCGACUGUAAUCUAGGGAACACAUCGUGUCAUAUUGAUCGUACUAUGCCCACUAACAAUGCUAAUAUGACUUACAACUCGCGUGUGUCCCGUCCUUCUCCCGAUCUUAGGCAGCAAGAUGAAGCGUCGACCAGCCCGUCCUACCCGCUUCCGGCUGUUCCUACGGUGGCCGCGAAAAUGUCCCAAUCACCGGCGACCCGAACGCUCGCGAACGUGCCGCUUCAUCGAAGAUCGAGCGAUUCCGAUCUGAGCGUUACUCCCAAAGGUAACUCUCUAGGCAGUGAUAGAUCGAUAGCAGGACCCCUAAGGACACCAGCUGCGGUAGUCAGACCCAUGAAUCAAGACACGCUAGAAAUGUUAGAAUAUCCCUUCAUUACUAUGCAACAUUACCCACCUGGCUUCAUAUUACAUAUAGGUGGUCUAGUGAGCUCGAGGUCGGUGAAAUUACUCGAGAGGAUAAGCAAUCUGGAGGAACCGGAAGGCCGUGAUGCGUGGUGGACCGAAAUCAGAAUGGAAGUUAGGUCACACGCGAGAGCGUUAGCUUGCAAUGUUGUUAUAGGCUACAAAGAAGAAACUAGUAUAUGUGACGAUGUGUGUGUGUUGAGUGCCUCCGGUACCGCGGCAGUCAUAAAUUUUCAUAAUUCUGGUCAAGAAUCAGACGGCGUCGUUCUUAAUAAACUUCAACAGAGUGCGCCCGCAGCUGCUGUGGAUUCGGAAAAGGGCCAGCAAAAGUCCGUCGCGACAAAGGCAGAGAAAGUUGACAGUGAUACACCUGUCGUGGCUCAUACGGAGCGACAAAACGGAAAGGUGUGCAAGCACUCUUCCGAAGGCAAUGAUCACGAAGGUUUCUGCGGCCAGUCUCAGCUGCGAUGCAACCUGUGUCAUCUCCCUUACAGUGAAAGCAGCGUGCCAUUUAGAGUCAAUGUGUCAAAAUGUACUAUAUGCAAGCGCGCCAAGGUUCCGGAUGUUAUGUUCACCACUAUAGAAGUCCCGACGAAUAUACCGACAACCGGAAGAGGCUGCUUUAUCCAAGCGACUGUAUGCAAAAGCAAGAAAGACUUGCGUGGUGAACUGAAUGCAAAGGAGAUAUCUGAUUGUUUGCCGUUUCUGGAAUAUGAACUACACAGUUUAUUGUUGAACAAGUUGAAGAUCAAGGGUAUGAACGCGGUGUUCGGCCUCAGGUUGCAGGUAUCCGUGGGAGAACGGUUCAUAAUCGGUAUGGCGGUAGGCACCGCGGUUUACUUGACCGCUCUACCGCCGCCUACCAUUCCGCAAAUAGCAUCUAGCAAUUCGUGGCAUAACGAGGAGCAGUUAGGGGAAAUGCAAAAGUCUAUUGUAGAAACAGUGAAGAAGAACCGAGAGUUUUAUCGUCUAAAGCCUAUCGGAGUCAACGAAGUCGAAAACGGACGCUUUCCAAGUACUUCUGAUACAGACGAGUCAGAUGAGGAUCUACCGGAACUCGAUCUUGGAUUGGGUACUCGCGAUGCGUGCAUCUUAGAAGUGGACGACAUCGAGGAUAUGGACCGAAUAUCAUCAUUAAUAGACAACAGACCACCCGAUGAUUUUCACGUCGUUAAUACACAGACGAUACCUGGUCUCGAAGAUUUAGAGAUCGUCAGAAAUUUACAGAUGUUCACGCAAAUCUCUAGGGCUAAAAUUCCCAUAGGACAAUUCGCGUCGAUGCCAUCAAAAUAUUUUGCCAGGUUACUUCAGUCUCUAUAUUUCAAAUUAAGAAGAAUGGUUCCCUGCGCCUUGUGUGACAUGCAGUUUAAAGUAGCAUUAUCUGAACAAGAUGAAAUACAACUGACUGUCGUUGGUAUGGCGCUUGGUUUGGGAGAACCCUUAAAUACGAAUAAAUAUAAAAGGAAGAUUGUAUGUCGUUCCUUGAGUAAGGAUCAAGUAAGAAAGUCAGGUGCCUUUAAAAGGAAGAUAUGGUGUAGAUAUAACACCUUUAUCUUACCUACCAGGUGGAAGAAUAGAGAGGUAUCAAGGCAACUUAAAUUUCUUUUUUAUUCGCGAAAGUACGUCGAUACGAGAGAAUGGUGGAUUGAGCGGUUUCACCCACAGUUUCGUAAUGGAAGUUUUGGCAAUUGUUCGUGCUCAUAUUACGGCAUUAGGCGGUAACGCUAUGGUAGCAUUCUUUAUGACACAGUGCGUGCUUCUCCAUAGUCCGCACAAAAAUCAGGGUCAGUGUUUGAUUAAUGUAGGUGGCGAUGUUGUAACAGUAUCUUAUUAUGCGGAUGAGAAGCACAGCGCGGUUUCAAAUUGCUGACCCCAGCCUCCUCAUUCUGCGCCACCAUGAACGACUAUUUAACGCAAUGGUAAUUAGUGAUUUGACUAAAUGUUUGCCAAUAUUAAUACUAUUAUAGGUCAUUGCGGUUCUCGGAAAUUUAAUGCAUUAUAUAAUGACCAAUCUCAAAAUGUUUCGUUGCAGUAAUUGAUAUUGCUGCUUAUCAAUUUAUUUUAUAAAAAUCAGGAUUCAAUAUUAAUUUCUUUAUGAAUUAAUAGAAUAGAAUAAUACAAUACAGAAUAUGACAAAGUAUAUUAUACAUUAGUCUACUAUAAAUUUAAAAUAUCUUGUAUAUUUAAUACU
RNAcentral lists this unclassified non-coding RNA (5616 nucleotides) under Pogonomyrmex barbatus (red harvester ant). Its description in RNAcentral is "c2 domain-containing protein 5, transcript variant X3". Lineage: Eukaryota; Metazoa; Arthropoda; Insecta; Hymenoptera; Formicidae. The record is from RNAcentral.